RNAcentral lists this ribosomal RNA (959 nucleotides) under Trichosporon coremiiforme. Its description in RNAcentral is "LSU rRNA". The stretch from base 110 to 959 matches the Rfam family "Eukaryotic large subunit ribosomal RNA", at positions 1 to 847 of the family's 3401-position model. Lineage: Eukaryota; Fungi; Basidiomycota; Tremellomycetes; Trichosporonales; Trichosporonaceae. The record is from RNAcentral.
CUUAAAAGAGUUAGCAAGUUUGACAUUAAUGUCUGGUGUAAUAAGUUUCACUGGGUCCAUUGUGUUGAAGCGUGCUUCUAAUCGUCCGCAAGGACAAUUACUUUGACUCUGGCCUGAAAUCAGGUAGGACUACCCGCUGAACUUAAGCAUAUCAAUAAGCGGAGGAAAAGAAACUAACAAGGAUUCCCCUAGUAACGGCGAGUGAAGCGGGAAGAGCUCAAAUUUGAAAUCUGGCAGUCUUCGAUUGUCCGAGUUGUAAUCUAUAGAGGCGUUUUCCGUGCCGGACCGUGUCCAAGUCUCCUGGAAAGGAGUAUCAAAGAGGGUGAUAAUCCCGUACUUAACACGACCACCGGUGCUCUGUGAUACGUCUUCUACGAGUCGAGUUGUUUGGGAAUGCAGCUCAAAAUGGGUGGUGAAUUCCAUCUAAAGCUAAAUAUUGGCGAGAGACCGAUAGCGAACAAGUACCGUGAGGGAAAGAUGAAAAGCACUUUGGAAAGAGAGUUAAACAGUACGUGAAAUUGUUGAAAGGGAAACGAUUGAAGUCAGUCGUGUUCUUUGGAUUCAGCCAGUUCUGCUGGUCUACUUCCUUUGAACGGGUCAACAUCAGUUUUGUCCGGUGGAUAAAGGCAGUAGGAAUGUAGCUUCUCCGGAAGUGUUAUAGCCUAUUGUCACAUACACUGGGUGAGACUGAGGACUGCAGCUCGCCUUUAUGGCCGACCUUCGGGUACGUUCGAGCUUAGGAUGUUGACAUAAUGGCUUUAAACGACCCGUCUUGAAACACGGACCAAGGAGUCUAACAUAUCUGCGAGUGUUUGGGUGUCAAACUCGAGCGCGUAAUGAAAGUGAAUUGGAGGGAUCCGCAAGGAGCACCUUCGACCGAUCCAGAUGUUUACUGAAGGAUUUGAGUAAGAGCAUAUAUGCUGGGACCCGAAAGAUGGUGAACUAUGCCUGAAUAGGGC